CCUACGGGUGGCAGCAGUGGGGAAUAUUGGGCAAUGGGCGCAAGCCUGACCCAGCAACGCCGCGUGAAGGAAGAAGGCUUUCGGGUUGUAAACUUCUUUUCUCAGGGACGAAGCAAGUGACGGUCCCUGAGGAAUAAGCUACGGCUAACUACGUGCCAGCAGCCGCGGCAAUACGUAGGUGGCAAGCGUUCGCCGGAUCUACUGGGUGUAAAGGGCGGGUAGGCGGGACUGCAAGUCAGAUGUGAAAACCACGGGCUCAACCUGUGGCCUGCAUUUGAAACUGUAGUUCUUGAGUACUGGAGAGGCAGCCGGAAUUCCUGGUGUAGCGGUGAAAUGCGUAGAUAUUAGGAGGAACACCAGUGGCGAAGGCGGUCUGCUGGACAGCAACUGACGCUGAGGCGCGAAAGCGUGGGGAGCAAACAGGAUUAGAUACCCGUGUAGUC
Molecule: ribosomal RNA, 443 nt
Filed under: uncultured bacterium
Lineage: Bacteria
Description: partial 16S ribosomal RNA
Rfam family: Bacterial small subunit ribosomal RNA
Source: RNAcentral